GAUGAACGCUGGCGGCGUGCCUAAUACAUGCAAGUCGAGCGAACAGAUGAGGAGCUUGCUCCUCUGACGUUAGCGGCGGACGGGUGAGUAACACGUGGAUAACCUACCUAUAAGACUGGGAUAACUUCGGGAAACCGGAGCUAAUACCGGAUAAUAUAUUGAACCGCAUGGUUCAAUAGUGAAAGACGGUUUUGCUGUCACUUAUAGAUGGAUCCGCGCCGCAUUAGCUAGUUGGUAAGGUAACGGCUUGCCAAGGCAACGAUGCGUAGCCGACCUGAGAGGGUGAUCGGCCACACUGGAACUGAGACACGGUCCAGACUCCUACGGGAGGCAGCAGUAGGGAAUCUUCCGCAAAGGGCGAAAGCCUGACGGAGCAACGCCGCGUGAGUGAUGAAGGUCUUCGGAUCGUAAAACUCUGUUAUUAGGGAAGAACAAAUGUGUAAGUAACUAUGCACGUCUUGACGGUACCUAAUCAGAAAGCCACGGCUAACUACGUG
RNAcentral lists this ribosomal RNA (497 nucleotides) under uncultured bacterium. RNAcentral's name for it is "partial 16S ribosomal RNA". It matches the Rfam family "Bacterial small subunit ribosomal RNA", at positions 28 to 507 of the family's 1533-position model. The record is from RNAcentral.